GGGUUGUGAGGUUAAGCGACUAAGCGUACACGGUGGAUGCCCUGGCAGUCAGAGGCGAUGAAGGGCGUGCUAAUCUGCGAUAAGCGCCGGUAAGGUGAUAUGAACCGUUAUAACCGGCGAUACCCGAAUGGGGAAACCCAGUGUGAUUCGUCACACUAUCAUUAACUGAAUCCAUAGGUUAAUGAGGCGAACCGGGGGAACUGAAACAUCUAAGUACCCCGAGGAAAAGAAAUCAACCGAGAUUCCCCCAGUAGCGGCGAGCGAACGGGGAGGAGCCCAGAGCCUGAAUCAGCAUGUGUGUUAGUGGAAGCGUCUGGAAAGGCGCGCGAUACAGGGUGACAGCCCCGUACACAAAAGCGCAUAUGCUGUGAGCUCGAUGAGUAGGGCGGGACACGUGGUAUCCUGUCUGAAUAUGGGGGGACCAUCCUCCAAGGCUAAAUACUCCUGACUGACCGAUAGUGAACCAGUACCGUGAGGGAAAGGCGAAAAGAACCCCGGCGAGGGGAGUGAAAAAGAACCUGAAACCGUGUACGUACAAGCAGUGGGAGCCCCACCACUAAGCCAGUGGUGAACUCCACAUACGCAUCCUUUGCUGAGGAUACGGUUAACGGAGCGAAAGCGACGUUCAACCUCAAAAGAAGCAGAGGGGGCUUAGUGGUGGGGUGACUGCGUACCUUUUGUAUAAUGGGUCAGCGACUUAUAUUCUGUAGCAAGGUUAACCGAAUAGGGGAGCCGGAGGGAAACCGAGUCUUAAUUGGGCGUUAAGUUGCAGGGUAUAGACCCGAAACCCGGUGAUCUAGCCAUGGGCAGGUUGAAGGUUGGGUAACACUAACUGGAGGACCGAACCGACUAAUGUUGAAAAAUUAGCGGAUGACCUGUGGCUGGGGGUGAAAGGCCAAUCAAACCGGGAGAUAGCUGGUUCUCCCCGAAAGCUAUUUAGGUAGCGCCUCGUGAAUUCAUCUCCGGGGGUAGAGCACUGUUUCGGCUAGGGGGCCAUCCCGGCUUACCAACCCGAUGCAAACUGCGAAUACCGGAGAAUGUUAUCACGGGAGACACACGGCGGGUGCUAACGUCCGUCGUGAAGAGGGAAACAACCCAGACCGCCAGCUAAGGUCCCAAAGUCAUGGUUAAGUGGGAAACGAUGUGGGAAGGCCCAGACAGCCAGGAUGUUGGCUUAGAAGCAGCCAUCAUUUAAAGAAAGCGUAAUAGCUCACUGGUCGAGUCGGCCUGCGCGGAAGAUGUAACGGGGCUAAACCAUGCACCGAAGCUGCGGCAGCGACGCUGAUGCGUUGUUGGGUAGGGGAGCGUUCUGUAAGCCUGUGAAGGUGGCCUGUGAGGGUUGCUGGAGGUAUCAGAAGUGCGAAUGCUGACAUAAGUAACGAUAAAGCGGGUGAAAAGCCCGCUCGCCGGAAGACCAAGGGUUCCUGUCCAACGUUAAUCGGGGCAGGGUGAGUCGACCCCUAAGGCGAGGCCGAAAGGCGUAGUCGAUGGGAAACGGGUUAAUAUUCCCGUACUUGGUGUUACUGCGAAGGGGGGACGGAGAAGGCUAUGUUGGCCGGGCGACGGUUGUCCCGGUUUAAGCGUGUAGGUGUGUGUUCCAGGUAAAUCCGGUUCACUUUAACACUGAGGCGUGACGACGAGGCACUACGGUGCUGAAGCAACAAAUGCCCUGCUUCCAGGAAAAGCCUCUAAGCAUCAGGUAACAUCAAAUCGUACCCCAAACCGACACAGGUGGUCAGGUAGAGAAUACCAAGGCGCUUGAGAGAACUCGGGUGAAGGAACUAGGCAAAAUGGUGCCGUAACUUCGGGAGAAGGCACGCUGACACGUAGGUGAAGUGAUUUACUCAUGGAGCUGAAGUCAGUCGAAGAUACCAGCUGGCUGCAACUGUUUAUUAAAAACACAGCACUGUGCAAACACGAAAGUGGACGUAUACGGUGUGACGCCUGCCCGGUGCCGGAAGGUUAAUUGAUGGGGUCAGCGCAAGCGAAGCUCCUGAUCGAAGCCCCGGUAAACGGCGGCCGUAACUAUAACGGUCCUAAGGUAGCGAAAUUCCUUGUCGGGUAAGUUCCGACCUGCACGAAUGGCGUAAUGAUGGCCAGGCUGUCUCCACCCGAGACUCAGUGAAAUUGAACUCGCUGUGAAGAUGCAGUGUACCCGCGGCAAGACGGAAAGACCCCGUGAACCUUUACUAUAGCUUGACACUGAACAUUGAGCCUUGAUGUGUAGGAUAGGUGGGAGGCUUUGAAGUGUGGACGCCAGUCUGCAUGGAGCCGACCUUGAAAUACCACCCUUUAAUGUUUGAUGUUCUAACGUGGACCCGUGAUCCGGGUUGCGGACAGUGUCUGGUGGGUAGUUUGACUGGGGCGGUCUCCUCCUAAAGAGUAACGGAGGAGCACGAAGGUUGGCUAAUCCUGGUCGGACAUCAGGAGGUUAGUGCAAUGGCAUAAGCCAGCUUGACUGCGAGCGUGACGGCGCGAGCAGGUGCGAAAGCAGGUCAUAGUGAUCCGGUGGUUCUGAAUGGAAGGGCCAUCGCUCAACGGAUAAAAGGUACUCCGGGGAUAACAGGCUGAUACCGCCCAAGAGUUCAUAUCGACGGCGGUGUUUGGCACCUCGAUGUCGGCUCAUCACAUCCUGGGGCUGAAGUAGGUCCCAAGGGUAUGGCUGUUCGCCAUUUAAAGUGGUACGCGAGCUGGGUUUAGAACGUCGUGAGACAGUUCGGUCCCUAUCUGCCGUGGGCGCUGGAGAACUGAGGGGGGCUGCUCCUAGUACGAGAGGACCGGAGUGGACGCAUCACUGGUGUUCGGGUUGUCAUGCCAAUGGCACUGCCCGGUAGCUAAAUGCGGAAGAGAUAAGUGCUGAAAGCAUCUAAGCACGAAACUUGCCCCGAGAUGAGUUCUCCCUGAGACUUUAGGUCUCCUGAAGGAACGUUGAAGACGACGACGUUGAUAGGCCGGGUGUGUAAGCGCAGCGAUGCGUUGAGCUAACCGGUACUAAUGAACCGUGAGGCUUAACCUUACAACGCCGAAG
RNAcentral lists this ribosomal RNA (3028 nucleotides) under Salmonella enterica subsp. enterica serovar Senftenberg. RNAcentral's name for it is "23S ribosomal RNA". It matches the Rfam family "Bacterial large subunit ribosomal RNA". The record is from RNAcentral. Lineage: Bacteria; Pseudomonadati; Pseudomonadota; Gammaproteobacteria; Enterobacterales; Enterobacteriaceae.